UACGAAGGGUGCAAGCGUUACUCGGAAUUACUGGGCGUAAAGCGUGCGUAGGUGGUGAGUUAAGUCUGUCGUGAAAGCCCCGGGCUCAACCUGGGAAUGGCGAUGGAUACUGGCUCGCUAGAGUGCGGUAGAGGAGAGUGGAAUUCCCGGUGUAGCAGUGAAAUGCGCAGAUAUCAGGAGGAACACCGGUGGCGAAGGCGGGUCUCUGGGCCGAUACUGACGCUGAGGAGCGAAAGCGUGGGGAGCGAACAGG
RNAcentral lists this ribosomal RNA (253 nucleotides) under uncultured bacterium. Its description in RNAcentral is "partial 16S ribosomal RNA". It matches the Rfam family "Bacterial small subunit ribosomal RNA", at positions 524 to 776 of the family's 1533-position model. The record is from RNAcentral.